AGCGAACGCUGGCGGCAUGCUUAACACAUGCAAGUCGCACGGUCGGGGGCAACCCCGGCAGUGGCGGACGGGUGAGUAACGCGUAGGUAUCUGUCUCCGGGUGGGGGAUAACCGUGGGAAACUACGGCUAAUACCGCAUGACACCUGAGGGUCAAAGGCGCAAGUCGCCCGGAGAGGAGCCUGCGUCCGAUUAGCUUGUUGGUGGGGUAACGGCCUACCAAGGCUCCGAUCGGUAGCUGGUCUGAGAGGAUGAUCAGCCACACUGGGACUGAGACAC
This 277-nucleotide ribosomal RNA is filed under the name uncultured bacterium. RNAcentral's name for it is "partial 16S ribosomal RNA". It matches the Rfam family "Bacterial small subunit ribosomal RNA", at positions 29 to 327 of the family's 1533-position model. The record is from RNAcentral.